Long non-coding RNA from Bos taurus (domestic cattle), 1931 nucleotides. Lineage: Eukaryota; Metazoa; Chordata; Mammalia; Artiodactyla; Bovidae. The record is from Ensembl.
GUGGGUUGCCAUUUCCUUCUCCAAUGCAUGAAAGUGAAGUCACUCAGUCGUGUCUGACUCUUAGAGACCUCAUGGACUGCAGCCUACCAGGCUCCUCCAUUCAUGGGAUUAGGCAAGAGUACUGGAGUGGGGUGCCAUUGCCUUCUCUGAACAACCUUGCUGCUGCUGCUGCUAAGUUGCUUCAGUCGUGUCCGACUCUGUGCAGCCCCAUAAACAGCAGCCCACCAGGCUCCCCCGUCCCUGGGAUUCUCCAGGCAAGAACACUGGAGUGGGUUGCCAUUUCCUUCUCCAAUGCAUGAAAGUGAAAAGUGAAAGUGAAGUCGCUCAGUCGUGUCCAACUCUUAGCGACCCCAUGGUCGCUUCUCCAUCCAUGGGAUUUUCCAGGCAAGAGUACUGGAGUGGGGUGUCAUUGCCUUCUCCGAACAACCUUGCUAGUUGGGUUCUAUUGAUGUCAGCUUCAAUUUGUAAAUGAGGAGACACAGGUUUAGAGAGUGUAAGUAAUUCCGUAACAGCUUGUGAGUGGUAGAAGCUGGUGUUUAAACCCAACCAUUCUGUUCCUGGAGUCUAUGCUCUUAACCACCACGUUCUGCUGAACUUCAUUGAAUAAAUUACCCCUAAGUCCUUUCCCUUCAAGAACAAGUGAGCUAGAUUAAUUUUUUAAAGUAGGAAGAUUAAAAGUAUUUAGGCCUGGGGUGAGCAAAUGAAGUACUAUAGGCCAAAUAUGGUGAGGCCCACAAGCUAAUAAUUUUUUUUUCAAGUGGUUGAAAAAAAUUUUAAAUAAUAUUUUGAGACACGUUAAAAUUAUAUACAAUUCAAAUUUUAAUCUCCACCAUUAAAGUUUUAUUGGAACACAAGUAUAUCCAUGUAUGUGUCUCUAGGCCCAUUUUGUGCUAUAGGAGCAAUGCUGAAUAAUUGCGAGAGAGACCCUACAGCCUCCUAACCCUAAAAUAUUUACUAUCUGACACUUUGCAGGAAAAGUUUGCUGAUCCCCUACUAUAACCAAAAACUGGCAAAUGAACAGAAGUAGAUUUAAGAGCUUGAAUUCCUCAGGAAUGUUGUUGUCCUCACCCCUCCUCUCAGUGCCUGGAGGGACCGCUUCCACGCCUGCACUGCAUUAGGAGGUGGGAUGGGCGUGGGGAGGAAAGAAACCUCUGACCCAGUUGCUGCUGCUGCUAAGUCGCUUCAGUCGUGUCCGACUCUGUGCGACCCCAGAGACGGCGUUCGUUGCAUUUCCUGGGUGGAGGAGGAAGGUGAAAGGAUGCUCGCAGAGACCAACAACCAUCUCUUCCUGCCACUUUGAAUUAGACUUCUCUGGAUAUCUCAGAUUCCACGUGGUAGCAAAGAGAAACCAGGAUGUGAGUGCCUAUGGCUGGCAUCUCAGGCUCCAUCAAUUCUUUUUAUCUUUUCAUUGAGAAAGAUGUAAAAAGAGGGCAUGCAAUAGAGGAAGGGUCUUAAAAGAUGGACUGCCAUUUAUCAACCCAAGAGAGCUGAGACCCACAAUUCAACAAUAUGCUGUUUUCAUGAGUGGCUCCCCUGGUUGGCAUGAUACCACAAAGCACUAUGGAAUGCCAAACACCCAAUUCUUUGGAUUAAAAGCACAAGUGUGUUAGUCACUCAGUCGUGUCCAACUCUUUACUACCUCAUGGACUUUAGCCUGCUAAGCUCCUCUGUCCAUGGGAUUUCCCAGGCAAGAAUACUGGAGUAGGUGGCCGUUCCCUUCUCCAGGGGAUCUUCCAGACCCAGGGAUCAAACCUGCAUCUUCUGCGUUGUAGGGGGAUUCUUUAUUGUCUGAGAAGGAUAGCCUAUUUAUUUAUGUGCUUGGUGCUUGACCGAUUUGGGUUUAAUUUUUAAUAUGUUUUUAUUGAUUUUUUUGUUUUUUUUUAAUAUAAAAUUUUCACAUAUUAUAGUCUGUUAUAUUUAUAUUCAUACAA